AGAGUUUGAUCCUGGCUCAGAACGAACGCUGGCGGCGUGCUUAACACAUGCAAGUCGCGUGCGCAGUUUCCGUAGCAAUACGGGGAUGGGCGCACGGCGCACGGGUGCGUAACACGUGGGCAAUCUGCCCUCCGAUGGGGAAUACCCCCGCGAAAGCGGGACUAAUUCCGCAUAACAUUCCUUGGAUUAACUUUCGAGGAUUCAAAGCAGCAAUGCGUCGGAGGAGGAGCCCGCGCCCGAUUAGCUAGUUGGCGAGGUAACGGCUCACCAAGGCAAUGAUCGGUAGCUGGUCUGAGAGGAUGGCCAGCCACACUGGAACUGAGACACGGUCCAGACUCCUACGGGAGGCAGCAGUGGGGAAUCUUGCACAAUGGGCGAAAGCCUGAUGCAGCGACGCCGCGUGGGGGAUGAAGCUUUUCGGAGUGUAAACCCCUUUCGACUGGGACGAAUGCCUCGCAAGAGGAGUGACGGUACCAGUAUAAGAAGCCCCGGCUAACUACGUGCCAGCAGCCGCGGUAAGACGUAGGGGGCCAGCGUUGUUCGGAAUUACUGGGUGUAAAGGGUUCGUAGGCGGUGUGGCAAGUCGGGAGUGAAAUCUCUGGGCUCAACCCAGAGACUGCUUCCGAAACUGCUGUGCUUGAGUGUGAGAGAGGCUCGUGGAAUUGCAGGUGUAGCGGUGAAAUGCGUAGAUAUCUGCAGGAACACCCGUGGCGAAAGCGGCGAGCUGGAUCACUACUGACGCUGAGGAACGAAAGCUAGGGGAGCAAACAGGAUUAGAUACCCUGGUAGUCCUAGCCCUAAACGAUCAGGACUUGGGGUGCCGCCCGUUCGGGCGUCGUCCCGGAGCUAACGCGUUAAGUCCUGCACCUGGGGAGUACGGUCGCAAGACUGAACUCAAGGAAUUGACGGGGGCCCGCACAAGCGGUGGAACAUGUGGUUCAAUUCGACGCUACGCGAGGAACCUUACCUGGGC
This 973-nucleotide ribosomal RNA is filed under the name uncultured bacterium. Its description in RNAcentral is "bacterial SSU rRNA". It matches the Rfam family "Bacterial small subunit ribosomal RNA", at positions 8 to 980 of the family's 1533-position model. The record is from RNAcentral.